CGGUGCUUACAUUGUGAGGCAGGCCGCCAAGAGCAUCGUGGCCAAUGGCCUUGCUCGUCGCUGCAUUGUGCAGGUAUCUUAUGCUAUUGGUGUGCCUGAGCCGCUCUCUGUGUUUGUGGACACUUAUGGCACCGGUAAAAUUCCCGACAGGGAGAUACUAAAGAUCGUGAAGGAGACCUUUGACUUCCGGCCUGGCAUGAUCACCAUCAACCUUGAUCUGAAGAGGGGUGGCAAUGACAGGUUCCUGAAGACUGCUGCCUACGGGCAUUUUGGCCGGGAUGACCCUGACUUCACCUGGGAAGUGAUUAAGCCUCUCAAGUGGGAAAAGCCUACUGCUUAAGCAAGCUUCUUUAUAUCUAGGUGAUUACCAUAUAAUUUCAUCAUUUGCUCAGGCCUCGUCUGGCUCUCAUGACUGUAUGGUUUUAGUUUCGAUUUG
RNAcentral lists this unclassified non-coding RNA (436 nucleotides) under Hevea brasiliensis (rubber tree). The record is from RNAcentral. Lineage: Eukaryota; Viridiplantae; Streptophyta; Magnoliopsida; Malpighiales; Euphorbiaceae.